Non-coding RNA from Phascolarctos cinereus (koala), 973 nucleotides. Lineage: Eukaryota; Metazoa; Chordata; Mammalia; Diprotodontia; Phascolarctidae. The record is from RefSeq and is a predicted model, not a curated record.
AAGAAUAUGAGAUACAGGAAGACUUCUUUCCAGAAACACUGAAUUAUUGAAAGAUUUCUGAAAAGCCUUUCACUGUCAUCCUGAGAGAGCUGAAAGGAGGGUCCCUGUUUCCAGAACUGAGAAGCCAGCAGUUGCAGUAAUGAUAGGAGAUGACAUUGGCAGCGAGUUUUCUCACAGUGAUGCAUUAGUGACCAGUCUGCUUAGUCAUAGCUACCAAAACACUUGGGCACCUAUCAGCACAGAGGAUGAAGUGUUGAGUCAAGAAUGAUUCUGAGGCUACAAAACUAGAUUGUGGAGAAUGGAAUGAAGAGUAGAGAAACUGGAAGCAAGGAGAACAAUGACGAGGCUACUACAACAGUCCAGAUGAGGGGUGAUAAAAGCCUGACUAGAGAAGUGAGCAGGCAUCUUGGUGUCAGUCGAGUGCUGAGCUGUGUCAAGCAGAUAACUCCUGACCUUGCGGACACCUCACCAGGCUCAGAUAAAGACAAACUGUGCUACACACUCCAGUUCCUGGACUGCUGAUGGCUCUCUCUACUUUUCAAAGCUUACGAGUCACAACUUAAUUCAUCCUAUCUCCUUUACCUAAGAUGGAUUCUUAACCAUUUUUGUGACAUGGACUCUUGGCAGUCUGAUGAAGCCUCCUCAGAAGUGUUCUUAAACACAUAAAAGUAAAAUACUUCGGACUGCAAAGGAACCCAAUUAUACAAAAAUACACUUACGGAAACGUUUUCAAACAAGCUCAUGGAUCCCCAGCAUUGUAUGGAGGUGAACCUACAUUUUCCAGUUCUACCAGUUAAGUCAGUUCUUACCAAACUGGAAAGACUUCAGAAGCAGGCCUGGCAAAUGUCCUUCAAACAUCAGAUUGACUGAGCAUGGAAAGAUUCAUCAGGAGAAAGGGAAGAAGCAGGUGAUGGAUUUAUGUUUGCCACAGCAACUCAUGAGCCAUCUUCUAAGACCAAGGCAGAGCAUCUGC